AGCUUUUUGAAUCCGUGCAGACAUUUCGUCAGACAUCAACUCAUUAAGGCUGAUCAAACUCUUAAGAUAAGUGAAGUU
RNAcentral lists this microRNA precursor (78 nucleotides) under Schistosoma margrebowiei. RNAcentral describes it as "mir-3492 microRNA precursor family". It matches the Rfam family "mir-3492 microRNA precursor family". Lineage: Eukaryota; Metazoa; Platyhelminthes; Trematoda; Strigeidida; Schistosomatidae. The record is from Rfam by way of RNAcentral.